RNAcentral lists this long non-coding RNA (995 nucleotides) under Mytilus galloprovincialis (Mediterranean mussel). The record is from RNAcentral. Lineage: Eukaryota; Metazoa; Mollusca; Bivalvia; Mytilida; Mytilidae.
ACCAAAGCAUUUAGAGCAAAUCUGACAUGGGGGUAAAUUUGUUUAUCAGGUCGAGAUCUAUCUGCCCUGAAAUUUUCAGAUGAAUCGGACAUUUCGUUGUUGGGUUACUGCCCCUGAAAUGGUAAUUUUAAGGAAAUUUUGCUGUUUUUGGUUAUUAUCUUGAAUAUUAUUAUAGAUAGAGAUAAACUGUAAACAGCAAUAAUGUUCAGCAAAGUAAGAUCUACAAAUAAGUCACAUGACCAAAAUGGUCAGUUGACCACUUUAGGAGUUAUUGCCCUUUAUAUUAAAUUUUUAACCAUUUUUCGUAAAUCUUAGUAAUCUUUUAGAAAAAUCUUCUCCUCUGAAACUACUGGGCCAAAUUUAACCAAACUUAGCCAUAAUCAUUAUUGGGGUAUCUAGUUAAAAAAAUGUGUCCGGUAACUGGGCCAUCAAACCAAGAUGGCCACCUAUGGCUAAAAAUAGAACAUAGGGGUAAAAUGCAGUUUUUGGCUUAUAACUCAAAAACCAAAGCAUUAAGAGCAAAUCUGACAGGAAGUAAAAUUGUUGAUCAGGUCACGAUCUAUCUGCCCUGGAAUUUUCAGAUGAAUCGGAUAAUCGGUUGUUAGGUUGCUGCCCCUGAAUUGGUAAUUUUGAGGAAAUUUUGCUGUUUUUUUGUUAUUAUCUUGAAUAUUAUUAUAGAUAGAGAUAAACUGUAAACAGCAAUAAUGUACAGCAAAUUAAGAACUAAAAAUAAGUCAGUAUGACCAAAAUAGUCAAUUGACCCCCUAAGGAGUUAUUGCCCUUAAUAGUCAAUUUUUAACAAUUUUCUUAAAAUUUGAAGAUUUUCAAUAACAUUUUCCACAGAAAGUACUGUUAUAGAUAGAGAUAAUUGUAAGCAGCAAGAAUGUUUAGUAAAGUAAGAUCUACAAACACAUCACCAUCACCAAAACACAAUUUUGUCAUGAAUCCAUCUGUGUCCAUUGUUUAAUAUUCACAUAGACCAAGGUGAGCGACAC